GGAAAAAUUCUAGAAUGCAACGGGUAUAUUAGUGACGUGGCGUAACAAACCAAUCAAAUUAAUCCUUUUAAGAAUAUAUAUCCCAUCAUGAUUGUAAAAAAGUAUUUUUAUUGUAUUUUUGUUUGAAAAGAAGGAAUGUGAUUGGCUUGUUAUUGAUGACGUGGUGCAAGUGUGACAAUGUAGAAUUUCUCCUUAUCUAAGACUCUAUAUUUGAUCUUUAUUUUGUCAAUUUAUUAAUAUUAAAAAUUUAAAAGAUUUCUGAAUCCAAAGAUGACUGGCUAAGAUUUUGAAUCUUUUUUUGAGUGUAAAAGCAUAGUACUUUUCAAACUAAAAAAAUAUUAAAAUUGAAGGGAUCAAUCGAUAAAAAGUUUUAGCACUUAAUUGAAAAUUUUAAAAAAAUUUGAAGAUCAACCAUUCAAAAAAAGUUUGGAAAAAGGUUAGAGAGCAAUUGCCUAUUAAUUAAUCCAAAAAAAUUAUGCCAGGUCAGCACCCACAUGUCGAUUUCUGCUGGUUAUAAUAGAAGAUUGACAAUGGACAAUACAACAUUAGGUUAUAGAGACACAUAUUUGGAAUAUUUUUGAGUAAGUGUCUCAUUUAUGUUAAAACUUAAAAACACAUCUACUAAUGCCUAAAUAUAAAACUCAAUCCAAUCAAAAAUAAAAAAUUAUUCUACUCAACCCAUCACACCAAAUCCAUUUGGCCCGAUUACAAACAGAAAAGAAAAAAAAAAUAAAAUCAAUUACCAUCUUUUCUUCAUUCUUCACUCAAUCCACUGAAAUUCUAGACGAAGAGCCUUUACUGUCGUCCUCUUCCGCCACCGCAGCCAACGAGAUAGAGUUUCGGCGGUUGCUAAAUGCUUAAAUAAGUGUUAGAAAAUUAGCAGCACUCUUUUAGGUUAUAGCGACACUCUUUAACUGUCACUAUAUACCUAGCGACCCCACAUAUAGCAACACUUUUUAAAAGUAUCGGUAAUUUUAGCUAGCAGCAUUUUUUUGACAUGUAUCUAUAUUUAAAAGUGUCGCUAUAGACCGUUUUUGUUGUAGUGAGAGAUUCAGUUGAAAAAAAAUUUCUACAAGUUG
Molecule: long non-coding RNA, 1079 nt
Filed under: Ananas comosus (pineapple)
Lineage: Eukaryota; Viridiplantae; Streptophyta; Magnoliopsida; Poales; Bromeliaceae
Description: long non-coding RNA (ACOM_LNC008245)
Source: RNAcentral